RNAcentral lists this ribosomal RNA (464 nucleotides) under uncultured bacterium. RNAcentral describes it as "partial 16S ribosomal RNA". It matches the Rfam family "Bacterial small subunit ribosomal RNA", at positions 339 to 795 of the family's 1533-position model. The record is from RNAcentral.
CUACGGGCGGCAGCAGUAGGGAAUAUUGCGCAAUGGGGGAAACCCUGACGCAGCAAUGCCGCGUGAGUGAGGAAGGAUUUCGGUUCGUAAAGCUCUGUCAAUAAGGAAAAACGGCUUAUAGGUUAAUACCCUAUAGGUUUGAUGGUACUUAUAAAGGAAGCACCGGCUAACUUCGUGCCAGCAGCCGCGGUAAUACGAAGGGUGCGAGCGUUGUUCGGAUUUAUUGGGCGUAAAGCGCGCGCAGGCGGAUUGGUAAGUCAGAUGUGAAAUCUCGGGGCUCAACCCCGAAACUGCGUCUGAACUACUAAUCUAGAGGCUUGGAGAGGGAAGGGGAAUUUCGCAUGUAGGGGUAAAAUCCGUAGAGAUGCGAAGGAACACCAGAGGCGAAGGCGCCUUCCUGGACAAGUACUGACGCUGAGGCGCGAAAGCGUGGGGAGCAAACAGGAUUAGAUACCCCUGUAGUC